RNAcentral lists this ribosomal RNA (465 nucleotides) under uncultured ciliate. Its description in RNAcentral is "SSU rRNA". It matches the Rfam family "Eukaryotic small subunit ribosomal RNA". The record is from RNAcentral. Lineage: Eukaryota; Ciliophora.
AUUUGUCUGGUUAAUUCCGAUAACGAACGAGACCUUAACCUGCUAACUAGAUCCAAUUAUCCGAUUUUUGCGAUCUUCUUAGAGGGACUAUGUAAUAAAAAUACAUGGAAGUUUGAAGCAAUAACAGGUCAGUGAUGCCCUUAUAUGUCCUGGGCUGCACGCGUGCUACACUGAUGCAUACAACAAGUGCCUAACCAGACAUGGUAUGGUAAUCUCUAAUAUGCAUCGUGAUGGGGAUAGAUCUUUGCAAUUAUAGAUCUUGAACGAGGAAUUCCUAGUAAGUGCAAGUCAUCAUCUUGCAUUGAUUAUGUCCCUGCCCUUUGUACACACCGCCCGUCGCUCCUACCGAUACCGGGUGAUCCGGUGAACCUUUUGGACUCAUUUGGGAAAGAUAAGUAAACCAUAUCACCUAGAGGAAGGAGAAGUCGUAACAAGGUUUCCGUAGGUGAACCUGCRGAAGGAUCA